CUGAAAUUUAUUUUUCUGGGUUUUCUUGCUCAUUAACGUUUUCAACAUGUAGCCUGUACGACCAAUAGCCCUAGAUCUGCCCUUCGACUUCAUAAGCGAGCAAAAUAGGAAAAAAAAACUUUACUCUUUCUCGAUUUUUUCGCAAUGAAAAGUUUAAUCUUCUUUAAAUUUGUUGUCUUUGCACCCGACGGUUUAUUUGGGAACUAAAGUUUUGACUUUUCUGCUAAAAUUUGAUAUUUUUAUUUGGAAAACUGUGGUUGUAUGCUGGAUUUUCUUUAGUGUUCUUCGAUCGUAGCUUUAUUGUAUAUGCAUCAUAUUCAUUUGGACUUAGAUGCAUGGUUUCUUUUAGGGUUUUUUUUUUUUUUUUUUUGAUAAAAAAAUUUGGAAUACUAGUCUAUAUAUUGAUCUCAUUUGUGUCAUUCAUUCACUAAACGCCUUACAUCUUAUGUAUAAGGUCAAGAAUGGGUAAUUUCUGUUGCGUCGUACGUGUUAAGGAAUCGACAGUAGCAUUAAAAGAGAUAUGUGGGAAGUUCGAUAUGAAGCUCGACUCCGGAUGUCACUGCGUCCCGUGGUGUUUUGGUCAUCUCGUUGCUGGCCACAUGUCAUAGAAGAUCCAGCAACUCGAUAUCCGUUGUGAUACCAAAACUCAGGAUAAUGUUUCUGUUCGGGUUGUGGCAUCCAUGUACUACCGUGUUGCCGGUACCCAGACAGCAGCAUAUGAUGCCUUUUAUCGUUUCACUGAUCCUGUUGCUCAAAUUCAGGCUGCUUCGUUCAACCAAGUUAAAACAAGCCUUUUUGAGCAUACUCUCGAUGAGCUUCUUAACACAAAAGAAAGCAUUGCAAAUGCUAUAACCGAUAAGCUCAAAGCGGAGCUUUUGCCAUACGGUUACGAGAUCGUCAAAACAUUUCUCGUCGACAUCGUUCAGACUUCAAGUCCCUAGCCACUUUUGAAGUAGAACUUUAUUAUUCGGCGUUUUUUCUUCUCCUAACACUGCAAUGGCUUAUCUACUCACUAAUUCUCACACUGUCUCUCGUCCUCCCACCGGCACUCGUCCUCCCGUUGGCACUCGUCCUCCCACCGGCACUCGUCCUCCCGUUGGCACUCGUCCUCCCACCGGCACUCGUGCUCCCACCGGCACUCGCCCUCCCAUCGGCACUCGUCCUCCUACCGGCACUCGCCCUCCCAUUGGCACUAGUCCUCCCAUUGGCACUUGUCCUCCCAUUGGCACUCGUCCUCCCAUUGGCUCUGUCCCUUCCUCCGGCGGCUUGCUCCCAUCUCCGCCCACUGUUCUCCCGCCGCCGUUUUGUUCAUGUUUUAGUUGGAAAAUAAAUCGAAAAUAAUGAAAGUAUACUAUUAAAUUUUCCUAUUUUUUGGUUCCAGUUAGUUGAAUCAUACCGUUUACAUUUUA
Capsella rubella is the source of this 1409-nucleotide long non-coding RNA. RefSeq lists it as uncharacterized. Lineage: Eukaryota; Viridiplantae; Streptophyta; Magnoliopsida; Brassicales; Brassicaceae. The record is from RefSeq and is a predicted model, not a curated record. The transcript is spliced from 5 exons.